CUUUGGAGGCUGGGGACAGAAGGUUUAGGGUUUUGGAUAUGGUUUUGGUGCAAAAUUUGUGUCAUUUGGAGUUUUUAUGAAGAAGUUAUAGGCGCUCAAAGUUUUGGUGUUAGUUUUUGGACCUAUUGUCACUCUUUAGAGCAUUGCGCACGCAUACAGAUAGCAAACGAAGAUCGGCGACUGGAAUUGGAGAGAACACUUUUUUGGCUAUAAUUUAUGCUUACCUUUUGUGAAAUUCCAAGCUUCGAUAAAGGAGAUAUUGGUAGUUGAAGUCAGCACUUGGAAUCUAAUGGUAGUAAGUAGCCCGAUUUACUUGUACUUGUGAUUUGAGCUAUAUCUUAGACAAUUUGACAAAUUUUUGACUCAAAAUUUCCAAGAUUGUGUAUAAUCUUGUUGUAAAACUUUCUACUUAAGUUUUAUGGAAUUUGGAAUUUGGGUUUUUGAGAUACAGGGAAAAUAGUUUUCAGGUGCUUGUAAGUUAGGGUUUUGUGCUUUUUCUAGGGUUUCUAAGAUGCUGAAAGAUCCGUGGUAGAUGUACGGUUCAUUUUUGUUUUGAUAAGGGUUAAGAAUAGCAUCUAUCUCAUGUAGAAAUUUGAAACAAACUGAACGGUUGGAUCGUGAUAUAUGAGAUCCUAAAGUCUGAUGUAAAAAGGUCUUUGCUGGAAGAAAAAUGUUUUGAAGGAUUUUAAUAUAUUUUGAGUUUUUAUACAAAGCAAAGAGGAUUUUUGGGAGCUAAGGCAUAAUAUACAAG
Molecule: long non-coding RNA, 751 nt
Filed under: Physcomitrium patens
Lineage: Eukaryota; Viridiplantae; Streptophyta; Bryopsida; Funariales; Funariaceae
Description: long non-coding RNA (PPAT_LNC009113)
Source: RNAcentral